UAUUGGGCUUUGAUGGGCCGACGCCCAAUUUGAAUUAUUAAGCCCAAGUGCGAUAUGACGGCGCUGUCGCUCCACUUCGACGCGCGGGGCGAAGUUGACCGUCUCCGUCGGCGAGAAUUCUCAGAGCACGUGAUUCGUGCGUAAGUUCUCCGAUUCCGUUUCCCAUUCAGCGUCGACGAUGCCGUGCCUUUCGGCCGUGGGGAGGUUCGGCCGUGGAUCGCUAGGUCCAGAUUUGGAGAUGAUACGGAGGGUGGGUUUUGAGCGCCGCGCCCGCUUUCUUCCAAGUGAAUGGUUUCUCGAAAGGUUUUCUGUCAAAGGUUGGGCGGUUGGCACUCCGGUCAGUAUCAAUUCCUUAAUUUGAUCGAGUAGCAAAUAGUUCGUAGAGUGGAUUGUGUUGUUCUUCGUGGAUUAGGUGCUAUCUCUGAACAGUCAUGACGACGGGGAUUCAUCGACGAAAUAGUUAAUCUUCGCAUAUUUUGGAACAUUGCCCUACGAUCAUUGAGCUGGUCUUCUUACGGGACGAAGUGGCUGUGAGGCUGUUGGAGUGAUGGUGUGGGUAAAAGACCGGUUGCAGUCUUCAAAUUUACAGUAGUAAUCUAAUCUAUAGGAUUCCAUGUUCUAAAACUUGUAUUUUUUUCUUUGUAGCUUGCUUGUGCCUUUAGUGUGAAUCGGAUAUAAUUGCUGAUAGAGUAAUUUUUGCCUUCCCCUGUUUUUGGUUACUCGGGAAUCUUUCUCUAAAUCAACAAGAAUUUGGAGGUUUCUCCAUUGAACUGGCCUUUGCGAUUUAAUGCAGCUUCAUUUCGUUCCUAGGUCCUAAGUUUCCAUUAACAAGGAUAUGCAAUAUCAACUCUCAUUGUAAAAGUUUUGAUAGAUGACUUCAGAGUUGAUUGCAAUCACAAUGAAGAUUGAUGAAUUGAUGGCAGAAUUAACAUAACAUCAUGGUAAUGGAAAAAUCAAGUUAUGAAGAAGGCAAACUCCUUUCAAACAUAUCUCUGACCUUCCAGGCAAUGACUUGUUGUCAAGGUUGCAACAUCGGGUCAUAUUCCGCCAAUUUACAUUCACGUUGAUAACUAUGGGAAAUAGUAGGAUCUUGCUGAUUGCUGGGAGGCCUACAGUUCGCAAUCUCUUUCCAAGUAAAGAAAUAAAAAAAAAAGGCAAGAUGAUUUUUACAAAUGAGGAAGCCCGCUUGAAAAUUUUGAGUGAGAAGUUCAUUUAUUGGAGUACAUCAGACCGUCUGAGCUGGUCAUCGAUUAAGCUUUUCGACGAUUGCAGAAGCUGAGAGUCGGAAUUGCAUGUACAUCUUUCGAGCUUGCGAUGCCCCGACUGAAAUGGAUUUGUUCAGGUUAAUUAUUUUUCAUGGUGUGUGACUGCCAUCAUCAAAUUGUUCAACGCCGACCUGCACGCAAUUGCUGAUUUCGAGUCAUUUUCUGCACGAACAAUCUGUGGUCUGCACCAAAUGUCUCUUACGAUCAUGUGCAUGAAGUCUCUGCUUCUGCGUGAUUCAGUUAAGUCUGCAGGCAGAACAAUCUCAAGCAUGCAGGCCUUCAAGAAUAUACUUAGUUCACCUUUCUUCUGUGAAUUGGAGCUGUCAAGAAACAAAAGUAUUAGGGUGUCGUAGUGAUACCAGAAUGCAUGCUCUCUGAUCAAUGAUCUCAUUGCAUCUGGUUGAAGAAUGUUGACUUUGACUUCGACUCAUAGGUAGAGAUUGGAGAUGGAAAUAAUCUGGAGGUGCUUUGUAUUUUAUACAGUGGAAAACUGAGAGGCUCGAUAAAGGGAGAAAAAACAUAGAGCAAUCGGCAAAUAAGAGUAUAGCUUUUAAUCUGUUAAUAAGAAUGUUACAACAGAUAAAGAGAUGUCAUGGAAUUAGAAAAUAUGCUUAAAUUUUCAUGGGAAUUAUCUUUAUUAUUAUUAUUAUUAUUAUUAUUAUUAUUUGUCUUUAUUAAUCAAAGAAGCAUCCGAGCUGGUGAUCCAUUGCUGGUUUCAAACUUGUACAAGGAUAGUGUAUGUGGCCAUUACAAGU
This is a long non-coding RNA of Musa acuminata AAA Group (dessert banana), 2020 nucleotides long. RefSeq lists it as uncharacterized. Lineage: Eukaryota; Viridiplantae; Streptophyta; Magnoliopsida; Zingiberales; Musaceae. The transcript is spliced from 5 exons. The record is from RefSeq and is a predicted model, not a curated record.